CGGACGGGUGAGUAACACGUGGAUAACCUACCUAUAAGACUGGGAUAACUUCGGGAAACCGGAGCUAAUACCGGAUAAUAUAUUGAACCGCAUGGUUCAAUAGUGAAAGACGGUUUUGCUGUCACAUAUAGAUGGAUCCGCGCCGCAUUAGCUAGUUGGUAAGGUAACGGCUUACCAAGGCAACGAUGCGUAGCCGACCUGAGAGGGUGAUCGGCCACACUGGAACUGAGACACGGUCCAG
RNAcentral lists this ribosomal RNA (241 nucleotides) under uncultured Staphylococcus sp. RNAcentral describes it as "partial 16S ribosomal RNA". It matches the Rfam family "Bacterial small subunit ribosomal RNA", at positions 99 to 334 of the family's 1533-position model. The record is from RNAcentral. Lineage: Bacteria; Bacillati; Bacillota; Bacilli; Caryophanales; Staphylococcaceae.